UUCAGAUCACAAAUUGAAGUAACUCACCCUUCUCACAAUUCUCUUGAAAUAAAAUGUGAAAGCAAUGGACCAAAGAUAGACUGGAAUGGAGGAGAGGGAAUAUUUGAAGCUGAAAUCACAUACAAUGGAGAGCCUCUAAUCACCAAACCCAAAACUAAAUGUUCAUUUCAUUUUCCAGAUCUUUACUACCUUACAACAUAUAAAAUUAAGAUUACAGCCAAGAAUAAAGAAGGACAUUCAGCUUUCAUUACUUCUGAAGUUACUACUCAGUACAAUGAUAAGGCUGUCUUUGGAUUCCGAGUUUUCCUGAGUGUUGUGAUCUCAAUUGCGCUGCUCUUGAUGUUCUUCAAAAUGUACCUUCACAAAAGAAAGCGUGAUAGAGAAGAUGGAGAAGAUGAAGAAUAUGAAGAUUGUAUGUGAAUGUUCCGAUGCAUGUACAGAGAAUGGAGACAAAACAACAGACGAGGGAGUGAAUAUGAAUGGCUGCAGUUUUAUGGACAAAUAUGUUAAAAUUAAAAUCAGUGUAUCAUCAGAAUAGAUUAAUGCAUAUCCAGAGGAAGCACAACUUUUGGACAUUCUUUAAAGUGACCACAAAAAGUAUUUUUAUGCUUAAGUCAAAAUUGAAACUUUCCAGUUUGUUAACACUUAAAAAUAAAAGCAAAAAGAUUCUGUUACAUUAUAUAAUGAUAGUUGUCUUUAGAUGUUAUUAAAUGCAUCCAAAUACUCUUUGGGGACAGAAGAGAGAACGCUGUGAAAAUGUAUUACCUUUUCAUCAUUUAAUGUUAAAGAUUUGUUUAGCUUGCCUUACAGUAUUAUGUUAACAAAUGAAUGGACAAUAAAUGCAGUGCAAUACAGAACUGAGGUUUAAAUAUCAAUAAUCAAUAUCUUCGCUUGUCUGAAAAGUUGAACAAGAUGUGUUAUGGAAGUACACAAGUACAGGAAU
Molecule: long non-coding RNA, 943 nt
Organism: Carassius auratus (goldfish)
Lineage: Eukaryota; Metazoa; Chordata; Actinopteri; Cypriniformes; Cyprinidae
Exons: 4
Source: RefSeq, a predicted model, not a curated record